GUCACCAUGGAGACCACGAUGACGACGCUCCGGGAAGAAGCCACGCUGACCUGUGGCUGUGAGGACCCCCGGCGGUCACGCCCAUCGGUGUGGGAAUCCCGCUGCAGCCCAUGGUCCUGAAAGAGCCCGUGCUGCUUGCUUGGCCUCCUCCAAGCUAAGCACCCAGCAUUGGCUUUAACUGGGAGUCGAAGCAGGAGAGCUGUGGGCCCCACCGAACGGCCCUCCUCGAGACCUCCUUGUACCGAGUCUGGGAUCCCCGAGCCGAUCUGGGGCUGCGUCGCUGGCUCCGGCCGUGAGGCCUCUCCUGCUCCCAAACUGGGCUCUGCCCGCAUCGCCUCACCAAGGGCCCCCAUGAAGGCUGAAGCCCGCCAGGACACGAGAGCAGAGAGACCCUCCACCCGGCCUGACUCCCCCGCCUAGCUCCGCUCUGGGCUGCUUUCCAACCUUACCCGGAGCGGGCCCAGGAGACCGGAGGACAGAGGAGGAGGCUUCCCGGAUCAGAAAGACGGCUGCAGCGUGCACUGCUCCUGGCCAGUCGGCAGCCACUCCCCUUUCUUUGCGGCUGAGAGCCUCUGUCAUGGCGACCCUAUUCUCCUCGGCUGGAG
Molecule: non-coding RNA, 605 nt
Organism: Oryctolagus cuniculus (rabbit)
Lineage: Eukaryota; Metazoa; Chordata; Mammalia; Lagomorpha; Leporidae
Source: RefSeq, a predicted model, not a curated record